Columba livia (rock pigeon) is the source of this 1301-nucleotide long non-coding RNA. RefSeq lists it as uncharacterized. The record is from RefSeq and is a predicted model, not a curated record. The transcript has 5 exons. NCBI's taxonomy places the organism in Eukaryota, Metazoa, Chordata, Aves, Columbiformes, Columbidae.
UUAUUUCUAAUAGACCCUGCUACAGACUGACUGAGCUUGAGUAAAAUAUCAUAUAAUUACACAAAGAACAGAUAUUAGUUCCUUCACAAUGGUCCUAUUCUAAACUUGCAAUUACUGUGAUGCAAAAAUUAAAAAACCCACAUAAUUUGAUAAUAAAUGUAUUCACAGAGUGUUUUUUUCUUCCAUUGAAUACUUCGAUUAAACCAAGACUGAAAAUAAUUGUCAGUAUAUUUGACCAGUGUUAAAAUUAACAGACGGUUAUUGUACCAAAAGAGAGUAUUUCAAGCAAAUAAUUCCACUUAAAAUAUUGAAAAAAACACAUUUUCCAGUUUAUACUGUUGGAGGUUACGGUGUCAUGUUUGAUUAAUGAGCUGUUUUAUUGGUGAUGCAACUAAAGUGUAAUGUCAUAAGACCCAUGUGUUGUAGAUUAGAGAGGUAUUAAACUUACCUUGGCACAAAGUGAAAAAUCUGAAAUAUCCCUCUGGUAAAAUAUAUCAUUCUAGAGGAAAAGACAUGUUGGCGUAGCUUGUAUUUAUGCUGUUGAUAAAUUACAUGUUAUGUUUACUUAGUUUAAGUAUCCAAUCAAAUUCUAUUAUUUUUCAUACUUUUGCUUCAGCAACUGUGUGUGAAACCAUACUGUCCAUUACCUGCUAGUUAUAAACAAAGACAUGAAGAUGACAGUGUGUAAUUUUUCUUAAAAUAAUCUUGGCGUUUAUUCUCAUUUAUCUAGAGUGGUGCAAACCGCAACAGAAUGAGGAAGGCAUGUUCAUGCAGGAUGAUGUGAGAAGGAUCCUCAGCAAAGCCCCAGGCCACACAGUGAAAAUUCACCCAAUUUCAAAAUUGCGUGGGAAACCUGAACCACAGUGCCAAAAAUGGCUACUUCUUCUGGUGAGAAAAUUCCAAAUGGGAACUACCCCUCAGAGGAACACAACUACCUCCUCUUCAGAUUUCAUCUUUUCCUGACAGUUAAAUACCCUCCUGUGUGCUUCGGUAGCCUUCACAAGAUCCUCUGGUCCACCUAUAAAAGAAUUCAGCCUUCAAAAUGACCCGCCUUCCAGGAGACCGACCUCUGAAGCGACUCUUAAGGUAACCAAUGAAGAGACUGGAGAAAACUGGUUGGAAAAUAAAUGCAGAAGCUCUCCACUCUCUAUAAAACUGCAGCAGCAUUAAAGAGACAGCUGAAUAGAGUGAGUGACCUGCCUAAGAGCCCCUUUGUUGAGCAAAGAGCUACGCUUACCUUUAUGGCACUUCACAAGAUACUGAUAAAAUGAGUUAAAGAAGUAAAUGCUGCUGGUGAAAGU